AUACGGUCAUAUCAUAUUAAAACACCAGUUCCCCUACAAUCACUGAAGUUAAGCAACACCAAGCCUGGUGAGUACCUAGAUGGAUGACUGCUUGGGAAUACCAGGUGCUGUAA
This is a non-coding RNA of Acanthosepion pharaonis, 113 nucleotides long. NCBI's taxonomy places the organism in Eukaryota, Metazoa, Mollusca, Cephalopoda, Sepiida, Sepiidae. The record is from the annotation of a GenBank genome assembly.